AUGGAGUUGGUAUGUUGGAACAUGAGGGGACUGAACAACCCCGCCAAAAGGAAAGCGCUGAGGGAGUUUGUUGGCUCGAUCCAUACGACCAUCAUAUGUAUAUUAGAGACUAAGCUAGAGGUGGUAGAUCAAUUUGUAAUAAUGCAAUGUCUUGGGCCGGCGUAUGAUAGGUUCUUUUACCUUCCCGCCCCCGACACCCGGGGAGGAAUUUUUGUCGCUUGGGAUUCCUCUAAGGUGCAGUUGACAAAUUUUUUCAAUGACAGUAACUUUACCAUGGGUUACGUCACCCCCUUACAAGGGCCGGAUUGGUGGCUAACAAUGGUGUAUGGUCCUCAGGAGGACGCGGAGAAAACUCUCUUUUUGGAGGAACUUGUUGGGGAACGUAGUAAUUCAAAAAAAUUCCUACGCACACGCAGGAUCAUGGUGAUGCAUAGCAACGAGAGGGGAGUGUUGUCUACAUACCCUCGUAGACCGUAA
RNAcentral lists this ribosomal RNA (477 nucleotides) under Triticum aestivum (bread wheat). RNAcentral's name for it is "partial small subunit ribosomal RNA". Lineage: Eukaryota; Viridiplantae; Streptophyta; Magnoliopsida; Poales; Poaceae. The record is from RNAcentral.